AAAUUGACGGGACCCGCACAAGCGGUGGAUGAUGUGGAUUAAUUCGAUGCGACGCGAAAACCUUACCUACCCUUGACAUGUCCGGAAUCCUGCAGAGAUGCGGGAGUGCCCGAAAGGGAAUCGGAACACAGGUGCUGCAUGGCUGUCGUCAGCUCGUGUCGUGAGAUGUUGGGUUAAGUCCCGCAACGAGCGCAACCCUUGUCAUUAGUUGCCAUCAUUUGGUUGGGCACUCUAAUGAGACUGCCGGUGACAAACCGGAGGAAGGUGGGGAUGACGUCAAGUCCUCAUGGCCCUUAUGGGUAGGGCUUCACACGUCAUACAAUGGUCGGUACAGAGGGUUGCCAACCCGCGAGGGGGAGCUAAUCCCACAAAGCCGAUCGUAGUCCGGAUCGCAGUCUGCAACUCGACUGCGUGAAGUCGGAAUCGCUAGUAAUCGUGGAUCAGAAUGUCACGGUGAAUACGUUCCCGGGUCUU
This 474-nucleotide ribosomal RNA is filed under the name uncultured Rhodocyclaceae bacterium. RNAcentral describes it as "bacterial SSU rRNA". It matches the Rfam family "Bacterial small subunit ribosomal RNA", at positions 908 to 1382 of the family's 1533-position model. Lineage: Bacteria; Pseudomonadati; Pseudomonadota; Betaproteobacteria; Rhodocyclales; Rhodocyclaceae. The record is from RNAcentral.